RNAcentral lists this RNase P RNA (18285 nucleotides) under Ophirina amphinema. Its description in RNAcentral is "ribonuclease P RNA". The stretch from base 16281 to 16353 matches the Rfam family "tRNA". Lineage: Eukaryota; Jakobea; Jakobida; Ophirinidae. The record is from RNAcentral.
ACCUGUUAUCUGCAUACGAUUUUCCGGGUGAUGACGUGCCCAUAGUUCGUGGGUCUGCAUUAUGCGCACUUGAGGAUGAUUCCUCAGAAAUAGGGGUACCGUCGAUUAGUAAGUUGAUGAGUACUGUGGAUGAGUAUAUACCAUUGCCUACAAGACCUAUUGAUGGACCAUUUGUCAUGCCUGUAGAGUCUGUGUUUUCAAUUUCUGGUAGAGGCACUGUGGUGACCGGAAGGGUUGAGCAAGGUCGACUAGAUGUAGGGGAUGAGGUCGAGAUUGUUGGUCUAAAGCCUUCGCAGAAAACCACCUGUAUCGGUUUGGAAAUGUUUCACAAAGAGUUAGACUUUGGAGAGGCGGGAGAUAAUGUAGGUGCAUUGCUUCGAGGGGUUAAGCGUGAUGAAGUCAUAAGAGGUCAGAUCUUAUGCAAGCCUGGUGCUAUAAAAUCAUAUAAAACCCUAGAAGCUGAGGUUUAUGUUUUGAAAAAAGAAGAGGGGGGUAGACACACUGCAUUCGUAAGUAAUUAUAGACCACAAUUCUUUUUCAGAACUGCAGAUAUUACUGGGACAGUUGGUCUGCCUGAGGAUACAGCAAUGAUUAUGCCUGGUGACAAUGCUACGAUUAAAAUAGAAUUAAUUGUGCCUGUUGCAUUACAUGAAGGUCUACGUUUCUCUAUUAGAGAAGGUCGUAGGACAAUUGGGGCCGGAGUAGUUUCCAGGUUGGUCGGAUAAAUUAAGUUGUUUACACUUCUAUUCAGUUAUACAUCAUGAACGUAAGUCGUUUUUUUUGUGACUCAAACCCUAGAUGUAUUAGUUACAUUAGGGUUUCAAGCUUUAGUAAACUAGAACAUUAUAAGUCACUAGAUCGCUUAUUAAGCAAGCUUAAGUCUGAUCCCCAACUUGAGGUAUCAAGCGUAUUCCCUUUAUUAAAUAAAAAUCGAUCUUUUACAGUGCUGAGGUCUCCUCACAUAGAUAAAAAAUCUAGAGAACAGUUCGGCCAAGCGAUUAAUCGUUCUUUAAUUAUAAUUAAGGUGGGUAGUUUAGAGGGCUACAGUAAGCUGCGAUCUUUGGCAGUCGAAGACCUAGAGCCUGGCAUUAGCAUUAGAUUUAUGCACAGAUUUGUUUUAUCAUAAUUAUAUUAAUUGAAUUGGAUAUGGGGUUAAAAUUAAGUAAACCUGUUACUCCGUCUCGUAGACACACUUCAUGGGCAGACCGAUCAGAAAUUUGGAAGGGUAAGCCGGUUAAAAAGCUGUCAAAAGGUUAUUCUUACGGCGGAGGACGUAAUAACCUAGGCCGCGUCACAUCAUUUCACAGAGGUGGGGGCCACAAGAGGAGGUAUAGAUUCAUAGAUUUCCGUAGGGGUAUCUUUAAUGAGCCUGCAAAAGUGGUCAGAAUUGAGUAUGACCCUUUUAGAUCUAGUUACAUUGCGUUGGUGGGUUAUUCGAACAAUAAGUUGGCAUAUAUACUUGCACCAGAAGGUCUGAAGCCCGGAGAUGUGGUGGUUUCUGGUGAAAAAGUGGACAUAAAGGUAGGGAAUUGUUGCCCAAUUAUGAAUUUACCAGUCGGCACCGUUAUUCACAAUAUCGAACUCAAGCCAGGAGGGGGAGGUAAGCUAGCGCGUGCGGCGGGUACAAAUGCGGUUAUCGUGAAGAAAGGUGCAGAGGGUUACGCAAUGUUAAAGCUUUCUUCUGGCAGUUACCGGUUGGUUUCAAUGCUCUGCUUGGCAACGGUUGGCUCAUUGUCGAAUAUUGAUAAUAAGAACGUUUCGCUUGGCAAGGCGGGUAGAUCUCGUUGGAUGGGUCGUAGACCAAUUGUACGUGGUGUCGCAAUGAACCCGGUAGAUCACCCUCAUGGUGGAGGCGAGGGAAAAACUUCUGGAGGGCGUCCAUCGUCUUCUCCUUGGGGAAUCCCGACUAAGGGAAAGGUUACCCGAUCUAGGCGUAAGUGGUCUGAUAAAUACAUCGUUUCAGUUUAGUAGUAAAGUUAUAGUUGGUAUUUCUAUUACAUUAUGUCUCGUUCAGUUUGGAAAGGUCCAUAUGUGAGCAAUCAUAUAAUUAGAAUAAUAAGUGGGCUAAGGGUUAAAGAGAAUAGAAGGAAGGUUUAUAAGGUGUGGUCUAGGUCAUCGGUAAUCUUGCCUUCUUUGGUGGGCGUUAGAUUUCUAGUGCAUAACGGGAUUAAGUUUAUUCCUGUUAAUGUGACCAGUUCUAUGGUUGGCCAUAAAUUUGGAGAGUUUUCUUCCACUCGUAAGAAAGUUAUUCACAAAGUAAAGAGUUGAUAUUUUUUAGUAUAUAAAUUAUGGGUCAGAAAGUAAAUCCUAGAGGAUUCAGACUUGGUUUAAAUAAUCGACAUUACUUAGAAAGUUUUGGUCCAUCUAAUCAUUAUUCCAGGAUCUGGCAUGAAAAUUUUAAGGUACGUGAGUAUAUACAAGGUGUUUUAUAUAACUCAAAUGUCUUUGUCGGGGAUAUAAAAAUUUACCGUGCAAGCGAAAGAUUAUCUAUCGUGGUGGACUUUGCGUUAAGAUCUAGUAAGAAAGGGAUUCUGCCUUUUGCAGUAGAUGCUUAUAUUUCACAGAUUAUGUCAUUUGUGGAAAAAGAAACCGGCUGUUUGUGUAGUGUAUCAUUUAAUGAGGCGUGUGUGCCUUUUUAUAGUGCCACAUUAUUGUCGAAGUACGUUGUUUUUCAAAUUGAGGAAAGGGUUCCAUUCAAAGUAAUCUUCCGUGAACUUUCAAGAAAUUUGAAAGAAAUACCUUCUAUACAAGGCAUAAAGGUUUCUUGCGCUGGUAGAUUGCGCGGUGAAGAGAUGGCUCGCACAGUUUGGGUUAGCGAAGGUCGGGUGUCUCUUCAAAGCAUAAGUGAAGAUGUGUCCUACGCUGAGGGAACAGCUCAUACUUCGUAUGGGAGUUGUGGGGUGAAAGUGUGGGUUUGCUAUAAAUGAUUUUUUAUAUAUUGGAGAGUAUUUAAGAACAUGUUAAUUCCAAAAAGAACAAAAUUUAGAAAAUACCAAAAAGGAAGAGUCAAAGGAAUCGAAUGUACCUCUAAUAAGUUAAAAUUUGGUAUUUACGGAAUAAAAGCCUUGGAAGGGGGAAGAAUUACGGCGUCUCAGAUAGAGUCAGUGAGGUUGGCUGUUGUUCGUAAAGUCAGGAAGAGUGGACGGCUUUGGAUCCGCAUCUUUCCAGACAUAAGUGUAACCUCAAAGCCGGUGGAGGUUCGUAUGGGACGUGGUAAAGGGUCUAUUGAUUAUUGGUGCACUAGAGUGCGUCCAGGUAAAGUACUCUUCGAGUUAGAUGGCGUUACAUUUGAUAUAGCAAAAGAAGUUCUCUCGUCGGCUUGCUUUAAGUUACCAAUAAAAGCAAAGUUUUUUUGUGAAAGUUACGUUUCAAAUAUAUGAUUCAAGUUCAAUCCUAUUUAAAGGUAGUAGAUAAUAGUGGAGCUAAGUUGUCACAAUGCAUAAAAGUGCUUGGGGGUAGCAAGCGCCGUUACGCAUCAGUUGGUGACACGGUUGUAGUAGCUAUAAAGAGUGUUGUGCCUGGUAGACGCAUAAAAAAAGGGGAGGUCAGACUAGCGCUAAUUGUUCGAACUCGAGGUUGCUCAAGAAGAGUGGACGGCUUUUCUGUUAAAUUUGAUGAAAAUGCGGUUAUACUAUUGGGAGACUCCGGUAUGCCAAUUGGGACAAGGAUCUUUGGUCCAAUAUCAAGUUUGGUUGCUCGCAAGAAGUAUCCCAGGGUGUACUCUUUGUCAUCUAAAGUGAUUUAGUGUUUUUUUAUUAAGAGGUGAGUGGGUAUUCAUGAGGUUUUCAGAUUGGCAUUAUUAUUCUAUUGUGCGUCCAGAUUUAAUUGCGUCAGGCAGUUAUCAUAAUUGCAUGUCAUUGCCUAGAUUAACAGCAUUAAGUAUUGUUUCGUCCGGUAGCGCUAUUAUUAGAGAAGGCAAAUUAUUGCCUGUCUACAUGUGCUUGUUGGAAUUAAUAACAGGUCGCCGUCCAGCAAUUAUACGGGCAAGGAGAUCUGUAUCUAGUUUUAAACUUAGACAGGGCAUGCUGAUAGGGUGCGGUGUAAGGGUAUGCUCUCAUCCUAUGCUAUAUGAACUUUUACAGCGUGGAGCUUUGAGUGUAGCAUACCGCAGAUGGAUGCGCUCAAGCUCACAUGGUUUUUAUCAAAGUAUUAGUAGUCAGGGAAAUUUGUCGUUCGGUUUUUCGGAUGGCUUUUUCUUCCCACAGCUUGACACUGAGUUCGAUAAGUUUCCAUCUGGAAUGGGAGGAAAUGUAAAUGUUACUUCUUCUUCAAGUUCUGUAGAAGAGGCUUCUUUAUUAUUUUCUUUGAUCGGUCUCCCUUUAAAAUAGUUGUGUUAUUGAGUAGGUUUAUUGAAUAUGAGCUUAUUAAGAAAAGAUAAGCAUGUUCGUCAUAAGGUUCACCUAGGUGAAAUGCGUCAUGUUGUAUUGAAAAAAAUCCAGUAUAAUCAAAGCCUACCAUUGAAUGUUCGUGUUGGUGCGCAAAUGAAGUUAAACUCUGCAAAUUCUAGCUCUCCUACUAAAGUGAGGAACCGGUGUGUUUUAUCAUCUAGGCCACGAGGAGUUUUACGAUUUGUUAAAGUGUCCCGUAUUCAGUUUCGACAUUUUUCAUUAUUUGGGUUUUUUCCAGGUGUUCAUAAGUUAAGUUGGUAGAAUUAUUUAUGUCAAAUAUAGAUCUGUUGUCUGAUUCCUUGACUCGGAUUCGAAAUGGUUAUAUGUCGAACCGUAAGUCUGUCAAGUUAGUGAAGUCCAAAUUGGUAUAUGACUUGGUUGGAGCAUUAUAUCGGUGCGGUUACGUUCAGUCAUACGAAGUAGUUGAUCAAUUUGUAGUAGUGUUUUUGAGAUAUAUCUUUCAGAAGCCUGCAGUAAGGAACAUUAUUCGCGUAUCAAAGCUAAGUUGUCGAGUGCACGUGUCUUGCAGGGAUCUAAAAUCGAAUCCAAGCAGCACUGGGCUAGGCACAUUAGUUAUCUCCACAAGCUACGGGAUUCUAUCUGAAAUGGAGGCCAUCAGGCUGGGGGUUGGUGGCGAAGUUUUGUGCAAGGUAUUUUAGUUUUUAUUGAGUCGAUAUGUCAAGCAAUUUUAUUUGUAAUUUCAACCAAGUUGAUGGAGUUUCCUAUUUCUAUAAUCCUAAGGAAAUAUUGGUUAAGGGUAGACUAGGUGCUACAUCUGUACCUAUGUGUCCUCAAGUUAAAGUUGGAGUAUCAAGAAGAGAAGGGGAUAAAAGUUCUAUUUCAGUUGCUGGGGAUAAGAAGCAAGUAUUAACCUUCAUAACCCAUUUAAAAAAUGCCUCAAACGGGGUAUCAUACGGGUACUUAAAGGUAUUGUCAUUAGUUGGGGUGGGCUACAGAGCCUCCACUGAACCUAACCUAUUGCGGUUAAAGUUAGGGUACAGCCAUGAUGUUGUAUUUAGAGUUCCUAAAGACAUUAGAAUUGCUGUAGCCAAUAAUACAUUAAUUUAUGUCUUUGGGGUAGAUAAGCAAGUUGUUGGUACUACUUCGGAUAUGGUUCGUUCAUUCAGGAAACCUGAAGCCUACAAAGGCAAAGGAGUCCGUUAUGAAACAGAGAUAAUUAAUUUGAAAGAAGUUAAAAAGCGUUAGUUGUUAAUCAUUUGAAUGGUAGGUAUUAAUGGUAUAUUUUUUGGGUAGGCAUUUGAAGAAGGAGAAGUUAAUUGGCCAUCAAUUAGCAGUUGUCUUCGGCAUUGGUAAGAAGCGUGCGGGGAAAUUGUGCAAGGCGAUCGGGCUGUCAGUACAUUCAAAAGUGUUGGGUCUUGAUGAUACUCAGGUUCUCAAGUUAUCGCGUCUUAUAAUGAAUAAUUAUAUAGUGGAUUCGGACCUGAAAAAGGUUAUUACGGGUAACAUUCAACACUUGAAAAAGAUAAGUUGUUACCGUGGUAUAAGACACACUCAAGGUCUCCCCUGUCGGGGUCAGAGGACACAUACUAACGCUAGGACUUCUAGAAAGCGCAAAUUCAAGUAGUUGUAAUUUUUUUACUGAGCAAUUUAAUAUUAUGAAUGUAAAACAGGGUUAUUCCGUGUCUGUGCAUUGUACGUUUAACAACACAAUAAUUUCACUAAUUGACAUAAAAGGGAAUGUUCUAUGCUGGUCUUCCGGCGGAGAAGUAGGGUUCAAGGGGGCACGUAGAUCCACGGCUUAUGCUGCUCAGUUAGCGACGGAAAAAGUUCUAUCACACGCUAGGAGUAUUAAUGCGCAUUCUAUCAAAAUACAGGUCUCAGGUGUAGGAGAAGGUAAGAGGGCGUCUAUUAAGUCUGUAGCGAAUUCUGGUAUUAGGGUAUUAUCAAUCGUGGAUGUUACAUCCUUGCCGCACAAUGGUUGUAGACCACCAUUACGCAGGCAAGUUUAAAAUAUUAUCACUAGUAAGUUGUCAAUGGAUUCAAGAAUUAGGUUACAAACUAGGUUGCAUGUAUUGCUUCAUUCAAGACAUAGGGUUAGGUUCUUGGUAAGUCCUAUCGAGAAGAAUUUUUCGUUGCCGUUUUCUAAUGUUUUUCGUUCUAUGAUGUUGGAAAACAUUUUCUUCCCUAGGGUAACAUGUUUUAGGUUAAAUGACUACCGUCACUUACAUGAGGCAGUCAUUGAGUCCCGAGAGGAUUUGUAUCAGAUAUCGGGAGCGCUCAAUAAAAUUAAAGUGUGUACUUCUAGCUCCCCUUUAGUUUUAACGUUGCAUAAAAAAGGGCCUUGCAUGGUGUACGCUUCGGAUUUUAAAUCGCAUUCAGAUUCACAUAAGUACCGAAUAUUAAAUGGUAGUUUACCUAUAUGUGAGGUAUAUGGUAAGAAGAGCGUUAAGUUGUCGGUUUUAAUAGAAUAUGUGAGGGGUAGGGAGAGGGUGUUUCAAGUAAAACGCUCUUUGCCUAAUGGAAUUGAAGUUGAGCAUCAUAAUAACCCUAUUCAGCACGUCUCGUACAAUAUUCUAUCUUAUCGUACCUACGAUGAGGUAUUAUUUGAUAUUAUAUCGGACGGAACUAUAAACGUUGGUAGUUGUGUUCAAUGGAACAUUGACUUCUUAUCAUAUAAAUUUCGUGAGCUAAAUUUUUGUGUGUAAGUAUAAAUUAUUAAUAUAGUAUGACUCGUCGAAUUAAUUCGAGAAACCGAGUAUCUAAACAACAUGGUCAAAAUGUUUGGGGUGUUUCACUGGCAGGUAAGCGUUCAAAAAUAGGAGUAAGUAGGCAGAAAUCCUCUCUAUAUGGUCAGUUGUUGCAAGCAAAGCAGUUAAUAAAACGUUUCUAUGGAGAGAUUUCCGAAUCCCAGUUUCGUAGCCUAUGUUUAGCAGGGGCUAGGCAUAUGCAACAAACCGGCGAUUUAGAUAAUGGUUUGCGACACGUGGCUUGCCUAUUAGAGUGUAGGCUGGAUAUGUCGCUAUUUAGAAGUAAUUUAGUUCCUUCUAUUUUCCUAGCGAGACAGAUGGUUAAUCACGGCCACACUCUGGUGAAUGGAGUUUGUGUGAGGCAGCCGGGGCUGUUGUUGAAAGGUGGGGAUGUAGUUGAAAUUGCUUUUAAUAAAAAGUUGUGGGCUAGAGAAAAUUUACUCAGAUUCAUCUCUACGGGCAGAGUUGUAUUUGAUUUGCCUACAUAUAUGCAGGUUGAUUAUGAUAGGAUGGCAUCUGUGAUGCUACGUAAGCCUUUUUCCGAUGAAAUUAAAUACCCACUGAAGGUAAGCUUUAAAAACCUGCUUUCUUGGUAUGCGUAGUUAGUGUGUAUAAGUGUUUUAUUAUGAAAUCAAAGAAAGCAGUGCUAAAAAGAUUUGUUAAAUCCUCAUCAAACAAAGUGUCACAUAGGCCUAGCUGCAGUGGUCAUUUAUUACGAAACAAGUCGAAGCGUCGCAAUUCCAAAUUAAAGCUCGUCUCAUCUGCAGAUUUUCGUAGAAUUUUUGUUUUGUUAGGUUAGGAUUAAUAUGCGUUUUUUUUUAAAGAAUGUGUCAGGUUUUUCGAGAUCCUCAGUGCGAAGCUCGAACACCCAAAUUGGUAGGGUGAAGAGAGCUUUAAGGAAUCAUUUUGUAUCUAGAAGAUUACUGAAAAGACAAGUUAGACAAACGUGGAUUUCCCAGGCGAACGCCCUGGCUCGUCGGUAUAAUAUGCCCUAUUCAAGAUUUCUGUAUUUGCUCCGUCAAAACAAUAUCUUGUUAAACAAGAAAAUGAUAUCUUACAUGGGGAAUGCUGAAAAUUUAUCAUUCGGUAGUUUAUUAGUUGUGUGUAGUAAGAAGACUUAGCCAUGAAAUCUAAAGUUUCCAUCCAUGAGUUAUCUAGGUUGGGCCUAACACACGAUAAGACUCAGUUUUUAGAGGAGCUUCGUAUUUCUUCGUAUGUUAAAGUUAUGUUUGAUAACUUAUUUAAUUCUGGUCGAAGAUCAGUGAUCAGCGGUGUUUGUAAACGAAUUCGACGUAAUGGUAUUUCCACGACAUUACUACUCCAAAGUAAUGAUGGUUAUCAAGUGUCGGUUCCGGUAUAUUCACCACUGGUGAAAAAACUAUCUUUAGUAGAUAGAUAGAUUGUUAUAUAAUUGAAAGAUAUAUUGUUUUAUGAAUCGUAUCAGACCGUUAUCCCCUCAUCUGACCAUUUAUAAGCCCCAAAUGACUAGUAUAUUGUCUAUAUUGCAUAGGGGCACUGGAAUUGUUAUGUUUUUGUUACCAGGGGUCGCUAUAUUGCUUAAUAUUAUUGGUACAUUUUCUUCAUUUUCAUUUAGUGUUUUUAGCCUCUUUGUAAGUUUGAAGAGCCAUAUUCUUAUGUUAAUUAUGUUAGGGUUAUUAGGUUUUUUGUUAAGCUUUUCGUAUCAUGCUAUGAAUGGUAUAAGGCAUUUAAUUUGGGACUGUGGUUAUGGCUUGUCACUAAAGUCCAUGUCGUAUUCUGGAUACGUAACAUUGUUCUCCGGUUUGGUUAUCUUUGGGCUAACAUUGUUGGUUGUCGUUUAGUAGAGGUAAGUUCUUCAUAUGAUUAAUAAAUUAAGUUACGCGUUGAGUAGAAAAUCAGGACAUAUUCAUUGGUUAUUACAGAGGCUGACUUCUAUAAUACUAGUACUUUUGAUAUCAUCUUGGCUAUUCAGUUUCAUCUUUGAUCUAGGACACGGUUCUAGUCUAUUAUUUUAUUCAUUUUUAAUUACAAUGCUGCACCUGUAUUUAGGGUUUUAUGAAGUAAUAAAAGAUUAUAUACAUAAUCCAAAUACGUAUUCAUUUUGCAUUGGAUUGUAUAAUAUAUUUUUCAUUUCGUCAUUGCAAUAUUUGAUCUUGGCAUAUGUUGAGUAUAAUGCGAUUAGUUAAUAAGGUAUGGUAUAUUUAUAAAUUAUGACAUUACAGAAUAAGAAAGUUUUUGAGAUUUACAGGUGGAGCCCCGAGUCUGGAGGUAAGCCAUACAUGAAAAGGUAUGAAGUUUCUUUAAGCGAUUGUGGUCCAAUGGUAUUGGAUGCGUUGAUUAAGAUAAAGAAUGAAGUAGACAGUACUUUAUCUUUUAGGAGGUCUUGCAGGGAGGGCAUUUGCGGUAGUUGCGCGAUGAAUAUAGAAGGGACAAACACCCUUGCUUGUAUAAAAAAAAUACCAGAUGGUAACGAGCCUCUGAAAAUAUAUCCGUUACCUCACAUGUACGUGGUUCGCGAUUUGGUUCCGGAUCUUACAAAUUUUUAUGCCCAAUACAAGUCUAUAGAGCCCUGGAUAAAGAAAAAAACUAAAGUGGUCGACAGCGAGCAAUUACAGUCCACUAGCCAAAGAUCUUUAUUAGACGGAUUGUACGAAUGCAUUUUAUGCGCUUGUUGUUCGACCAGUUGUCCGAGUUACUGGUGGAAUGGAGAUAGAUACUUGGGUCCAGCAGUUUUACUCCAAGCGUACCGCUGGAUAGCGGACAGUCGUGAUGAAUAUACUAAAGAGAGGUUACGUUCUUUAAACGAUGCAUUUAAGUUGUAUAGAUGCCAUACAAUCAUGAAUUGCUCUAAAACCUGCCCUAAAAAUCUGAACCCGGGUAAAGCGAUUGCAGAGAUCAAAAAACGAAUCUCUUUAUUUUCUUAGCAUUUAUAGCUUUAGUUGUAUAUAUUUAGGUGUAGGUUAAUUAUGGUUUGGGGAAUAUCGGUAUUUAAAUUAUCAAUACCAUUUAUAAUAUUUUUUAUUGGUCUUUCUGGGAUAUUUCUGAAUAGAAGAAAUAUCAUCAUAUUGUUGAUGUCGGUGGAGUUGAUGUUAUUAUCUAUUAAUUUUGGUUUUAUUUUGUUUUCUGUUUAUCUAGACGAUAUUGUAGGCCAAAUAUUUUCUCUUUUGGUAUUAACCGUCGCAGCCGCAGAAUCAGCUAUUGGAUUAGCCAUAUUGGUGAUCUAUUAUAGAGUCCGUAAGACGAUCUCGAUAGAGUCUAUUCGUUUAAUGAAAGGGUAGUUAGUAUGUAUUUAUUAAUUGUAUUCAUACCAUUAGUUACUUCAUUGGUUUCUGGACUGGGUGGUAGAUUUAUUGGUAAGCUUGGAUCACAGGUCUUGACUUCUUUAGGAGUUCUCAUGUCCGCUACAUUAUCAAGUGUUGCAUUUUACGAAGUAGGUAUUUGCGGUAGCCCAUGUUAUGUAGAGUUCUUACCCUGGAUCUCGUCGGACAUGCUGAGGGUUUAUUGGGGAUUUCAAUUCGAUAGCCUAACAGUAGUAAUGCUAGUAGUGGUAACGUAUGUAUCCACUUUAGUUCAUCUGUAUUCAAUCGGGUAUAUGUCUGAGGACCCACAUAUCCCUAGGUUUAUGAGUUACUUGUCAUUAUUCACAUUCUUCAUGUUGAUGCUGGUUACGGGCGAUAAUUUAGUUCAAUUGUUCUUUGGUUGGGAAGGGGUUGGCGUAUGCUCUUAUCUGUUAAUUAGUUUUUGGUAUACUAGAAUCCAAGCAAAUAAGGCAGCGUUGAAGGCAAUGGUUAUGAACCGUGUUGGUGAUUUUGGAUUAUCUUUAGGCAUUUUUGCAUCUUUUUAUGUCUUUAAAAGCCUAGAUUAUGCAACUAUUUUUUCGCUCGCACCUUACUAUGUUGACUUUCAAAUACCGUUUUUAUACUGGAGCUUUGGCUCAUUAAACUUGAUAGGUAUCUUAUUGUUUGUAGGGGCUGUUGGUAAAUCUGCGCAGUUAGGUCUCCAUACUUGGCUUCCAGAUGCGAUGGAGGGGCCAACACCGGUGUCUGCUCUGAUACAUGCUGCUACAAUGGUAACUGCUGGGGUAUUUUUGAUCUCUAGGUGUUCUCCACUAUAUGAAUAUGCACCAAAAGCAUUGUUGGUCGUUACAAUCAUAGGUGGUACCACAGCAUUUUUUGCUGCAACAACAGGACUGGUUCAGAAUGAUUUGAAAAGAGUGAUUGCCUACUCCACAUGUAGUCAGUUGGGGUAUAUGAUUUUUGCUUGCGGUUUAUCUGGAUAUUCAAUAGGAAUGUUUCAUUUAAUGAAUCACGCGUUCUUUAAGGCUUUAUUGUUUUUAAGUGCAGGGUCGGUAAUCCAUGCCUUGGCCGAUGAGCAGGAUAUGAGAAAAAUGGGGGGCAUGUUAAACAUAGUGCCAUUAACCUAUACGAUGAUGUUGAUCGGAUCGAUGUCAUUGAUGGGAUUUCCAUUUUUAACGGGUUUCUAUUCGAAGGAUGUAAUCUUAGAGUUUUCGUUCGCUAAGUAUACCAUAGACAGUAGCUUUGUAUUUUGGCUAGGUGUAAUCUCGGCAUUCUUCACAGCAUUCUAUUCAUUCAGGUUAAUAUAUUUGACGUUCUUUGGGGAGCCGAACAGUAUUCGUUCCGUAGUUAGCAAAUCCCACGAUGCUCCGGUGAUAAUGGCGUUGCCACUAAUGUUGUUAUGCUUAGGUAGUGUGUUUGUUGGUUAUAUAUUUAGAGAUUUGAUAAUUGGUUUAGGAACGGAUUUCUGGGGUUCUGCACUAUAUGUGAGUCCACACAACUCUGCUCAUAUUGACUCUGAGUUUAUACCACAUAUGGUGAAGCUGAUGCCGGUUUGUCUAAGUGUUUUAGGGGCUCUGGCUUCUUUAUACGUUUAUGAGAAGCUUGCUUUAGAGAUCGGCUCCUUGUAUAAAACUGCCAUUUGGUUGAGUGUUUAUAAGUUUCUGAAUGGUCGGUGGUUAUUUGAUUCGGUUUAUAACUAUUUUGUUGCGGAGAAGCUUAUGUCUUUUGGAUAUCACAUAUCAUUCAAAACGUUGGACAAGGGUAUUAUUGAAUUUAUGGGCCCAUCAGGUUUGAUUUCACUUAUCUCUACUUGGAGUAUCAGGGUAUCUCGUUUGAAUACAGGUUAUCUGUACCAUUCUGCGUUCUUAAUGAUGCUGGGUGCAGUAAUUGUGUUGGGGGUGACUAGAGUGUGCCAAAUGGAGAGUGAUAUAGCGUAUGUUAAGUUAGCGUUCGUACAAGUUAUAUGUGGUCUGUUUUAUUUAGGGAGUGUGGGUAGAGACUCAAUCAAGUUAAUAUAAUAAAUUUUACAGUUAACGUUUGCAAACGAUAAAGUUAGGAGAUUUUAUGGAUAAAUUGGUUUCACAGGUUGGGCAAGAAUUAUUUAAUUCUUGCUCAGACACGGUAGUUUUUUAUAUGUCUGCAAUUAUUGGAACGUUGUUGAUCGGUUCGAUAAUUAUGUUUUUUGUUCCUAGUAAUUUGGAGUCGGCAAUAAAAGUUGGGACGUUGGUAUUUUCCCUAUGUGCUUUUUUAUUAUCCUUGUUACUUUGGUACAACUACGACUAUACGCUAGGGCUGGUUGCUUUUACGUAUGAUCAUUCUUGGAUUGGAAAUAGUGGCUUCUCAUUGACCAUGGGGGUAGAUGGUGUGUCAAUUUCCUUGAUUGCGCUGACUACGUUUUUGAUACCUGCGUGUAUAUUAUGUAGCUGGAGAUCUAUUAGGUCGAGUGUGAAGGAAUAUUAUAUUUGUUUUUUAGUGCUGGACUUAUUGUUGGUUCUCGUAUUUUCUUCUCUGGAUCUUUUUUUAUUUUAUAUUUUUUUCGAAGGCGUUUUGAUACCAAUGUUUUUAUUGAUAGGUAUCUGGGGUUCUAGUGAGAGACGCGUAUAUGCAUCGUAUAUGUUGUUUUUAUAUACGUUAGCUGGUUCAUUGCUUAUGUUGCUGGCAGUAAUAUAUAUCUACCUAGAAGUAGGCACUACAAACAUAGUAGAGGUAUUGGAUUAUGAGUUCGGAUUGACAAUACAAAAGUUACUUUGGGUCUGUUUUUUUACUUCUUUUGCGGUGAAAAUGCCAAUGGUUCCAUUCCAUAUUUGGUUACCUGAAGCGCAUGUAGAAGCCCCUACUGCCGGAUCCGUGUUACUUGCUGGGGUCUUAUUAAAGCUCGGGGGAUAUGGGUUCUAUAGGAUGUCUAUACCUCUUUUUCCAGAUGCUACAGUAUACUUUGCGCCGUUUGUUUUAAUGUUAAGUGUCGUUGCCAUAGUAUACGCUUCGUUAACUACAUUACGCCAGGUGGAUUUGAAAAGAGUAAUUGCGUACUCUUCAGUUGCUCAUAUGGGGUUUGUCACGUUAGGCAUGUUUUCAUUGAAUGUGCAUGGUAUUGAAGGGUCUAUCUUGUUGAUGUUAAGCCACGGUGUUGUAUCUAGUGCAUUAUUUUUAUGUGUUGGUGUCUUAUACGAUAGGCAUAAGACAAGGAUCAUCAACUAUUAUGGUGGGCUAACUAGAGUGAUGCCAAUGUUCUCUGUAGCGUUUUUGUUGUUUACGAUGGCAAAUAUCAGUUUACCUGGAACAAGCAGUUUCGUAGGGGAGUUUCUCUCUCUGUUAGGAUGCUAUGAAGUAAGUACAUUUAUGGCUUUUAUUGCGUCAAUUGGAGUUGUUUUAGGAGCCGGUUAUUCAAUAUGGUUAUACAAUCGUGUUUGUUUUGGUAAUUUAAAAAUAGACUAUGUUAACAAAUUCACUGAUCUAAGCCGCAGAGAAUAUCUAAUACUUUUACCAUUUGCUAUUUUUACAAUUUUAUUUGGUAUAUAUCCAGACUUAUUUCUGAAUCUAAUUCACUUUUCAGUGUUGAACAUUAUUGAGUAUUGUAAGUUUUAGAAUUUUGGUAUAAAUUUAUAUGAAUGCUAUGUCGCUUUCAAUGGAUUCAUUUCAUUGGUUUCUUCCAGAAAGUUUCUUCCUAUUUGGCAUCCUGAUGGUCUUAUUAUACGGGGUGGUCCUAAGUGUUUCCAAGACUCAUAACUACCCGCUGUUAAUUCAGAACAUAGGGAUUCUAUCAAUUUGGUUAUUGACCCUAACAUCAUUACUACUAUUUAAUAAUUUAGGGCAUGGCUCUGUACCUAUUUUUGGUCUAUUUAUUUAUGAUUCGUUUGGCACAUACAUUAAAAUAAUCUUAGUGAUUAGUACAGUUUGUCUUUUGGUAUUGUCAAUAAGCUACUUGAAGGUCACAAAGGUAAAUACAUUCGAAUUUUAUUUGUUAUCUUUGCUGUCACUACUAGGAAUGUUUUUUAUCUGUAGUUCGUUUGACUUAAUAAGCGUUUAUAUGUCAAUAGAAUUCCAGAGCUUAUGUUUCUAUGUACUUGCAUCUUUGAAAAAAGAUUCGGAGUAUUCUACUGAAUCAGGGUUGAAAUAUUUUGUGCUGGGAGCGUUUUCCUCUGGGUUAUUACUAAUGGGUAGUUUGUUAAUUUACGGUGCUUCUGGCACGACAAACUUCGAAUAUUUGUCUAAGAUUUAUUCGGCUGAUUUCUUACACCAGACAGAUUUUUCCAUUACUUUAGGACUAAUCGUGUACCUAAUGGGACUAUGCUUUAAGUUGUAUAGUGCUCCAUUUCACGUGUGGGUUCCUGAUGUAUACGAGGGUUCCCCAACACUAGUAACUGCUUUUUUUUCCGCUGUCCCAUUCGUCUCAAUAUUCGCAUUAUUUGUGAGGGUCUUAUUCUAUUGCUUUGGGGAUCUGUCGUCCUAUUGGACAGACAUGGUAGCUUUCUGUGCUUGUCUCUCGCUGAUAGUAGGGGUUUUUGGAUCACUGGCCCAAGUUAAAGUCAAGCGGUUGAUUGCAUAUAGUGCAAUAGGGCAUUCUGGGUAUCUGUUUUUAGUUCUGUCAAGUGGUGACUUUGACAGUAUGAUCUCCGCACUAUUUUACAUAGUUGUAUAUAUGGUGACUACAAUAGGAUUUUUUGCUGGGAUAAUGUCCUUGCGAAGGGUUUACUUUUCUUCAACCGUUCAGAAUAGAUUUUUGGCAGAUUUUACAAACUUGAGGUUUAUAAACCCUUCGUUGGCGAUUUCAUUUGGCCUGAUUUUAUUUUCCAUGGCAGGAAUACCUCCUCUUUUAGGGUUUUUUAGCAAGUAUUUUGUGUUUGUAAAGUUAAUGUCUUGCGGUCUGUAUAUGUAUUCGAUUUUUGGAAUUAUUGCAAGUAUUAUUGGCUGUGUCUAUUACCUUAGGUUAAUUAAGAUAAUGUACUUUAUACCAAAUCCGGAGUACGCUUUUUACCUUCCUAUUCCUAAAGUAAAUGCUUGGCUGAUUUCAAUCAGCGUAAUGUUGUUGUUAUUCGGGAUUGUUGAUCCUUCAGGGGUUUACUAUCUAGCAGAAAACAUGUUAUUUGUGUUAAAUAAUUGGUAUUAGUUGAUCUAUGUACUCGUUAACAUUAUCGACCUUAGUAUCUGACUUAGCUCACUUGGGGCAAGAAGAGAAGGUUUUAUUUCCUAAGCUAAAGCCCUAUGUAUUAGGCAAUCGAGGAGGGUUUUCGAUUAUAAAUCUGGAGAGGACUUUAAACCAGUUGAAUAUAGGUUUGCGAAUUGUUCGCAAUAUCUGUUUGGCAGGUGGUCGUAUCUUGGUGUUGGAAUCCAGAAUAGAUCGAGCCAAUAUUGCCCAGUUCUAUUUUUCUGGCAUUAAGUCGGUCACUUUUAAGAAGAACUGGCGAGGGGGGUCAUUAACGAAUAAUGAAGGUCUUAGUGAUAGUCUGCCUGACUUGAUACUUAUUUUCGGCGGUUCUGAGCAUAGAAGUGUUAUAAAAGAAGCCGCUAGGCUAGGUAUUCCGGUUGUUGGAGUUGUUGAUACAGACUGUGAUCUAUUAGGAAUAGAUUAUCCUAUUUUAUGUAAUAGUAUUUCUUUAACAAGUCUCGUUUUAUAUUAUAGGUUAUUCUCUAAGGCAGCCGGUUAGUCCUUAAUUUAUAAGGGGACAAGGAAAAUUUUUGCCUUGUCCCCGAUAUAUAUUUUCUGUCGAAUGCUUUUCAUUCCCAUAUUAUAGGUAGUGUUGGAAAUGCCAAGAACUGCCCUUGGGUCCAGUAAAUAUGAAAGCACACGUAUUUUCAUAGUAUGCGCAAGAGUUUGGAGAAGUGGCAGAGUGGCUUAAUGCGUCGGUUUGCUAAAUCGUUAUGCGGCUUAUUUACGCAUCGUGGGUUCGAAUCCCAUCUUCUCCUUCUGUGGGGGCAUAGUUCAAUUGGUAGAGCGUCUGCUUUGCAAGCAGGAAGUUGUGGGUUCGAGUCCCACUGUCUCCAUUAUGACAUUUAUCUUGAUCAGGGCAAGUAUAAUACUUGCCUCUGAUAACAUAAACAAGAAGACAAACGUUAUUAAUUGACUUAGUAUAUCGGGCGGUGACAUGAGGGUUGCUAUGAUCAACAUGAUAGAUAUUAUCACUUUCCUUUUUUUCUUAAUCUUAUUUACGUUAAGUGCCUCAAAAUCGAUUAGGAUAAAUAUGGCUAGAGGAAUCACGGAAAUUAGGAUUCCAAAAGCCAGCAAUUUAACCAUUGUUGAUACAAGGUCUGAUAAUUUAGGCAGAAACAUAAUGGUUAGACUGGCAUCCUGGGUCUCGAAUGAACUGAAAAACGAAACACCUGUAUUAAAAAAGAUAAAAUAAGAAAAUAGCAUGGAAAUAAUAGACACCAUCCAAGUCAUUUUCCAAAAUAUGGAGCAAAUGGAAUGUUCUUUUCUCUUCAGUGCUGGCGUGAGGAACAUCUCAGCCUGAUAUAAAAAUAUGGGUGUGGUCAGAACAGCUGCGGUCAACGUACUAAUUGUUAAAUAAGAAAAGAAAGCCUCGGUUAGGCUUGUGUAUAUGAACGGUUUUUUUAUCAUAUGUUGUAAGUAACUUAAUACUGUUCUGAUAUGCAGUAGGUUAACUGUUACCACAAGUAAAAAACUCACUAGUACGUAAUUUAAUCUGUUUUUUAAUUCUGACGUAUAGUAUUGAAAGGGUAUCAUGGUCUCUUAUUCAUCUGAUCUGUAAUGUUAAGGAUAAAGUGGGAUUCGAACCCACGGUACUUUUUACAGUACUUCAGUUUUCAAGACUGACACCUUAAACCACUCGGUCAUUUAUCCUUUAAUUGCCAUCGCAAGGCGGAGGUAGGAUUUGAACCUACAACCUUCAGGUUAUGAGCCUGAUGAGCUACCUGGUUGCUCUACUCCGCGACUUUGAAUACGGGUGGAGGGACUUGAACCCACACGAUUUCUCACUAGAUCCUAAAUCUAGCGUGUCUACCAGUUUCACCACACCCGCAAAGUGUCAUGUCGAUUGUUACCUGGAGAGGUGGCUGAGCGGUCAAAAGCAACAGACUGUAAAUCUGUCGGUUACUACCUACGUAGGUUCGAAUCCUACUCUCUCCAUUGAUUAAUCUCUAGAGAGGGGGAGAGAAAUCCCCCUCUUUGUCGCUUUAGAAUGUAAAUAGCAAAAGAAACACUACCAUCAAAGCGAAUAGUCCAAUCGCUUCAGUUAGGGCGAAUCCAAUCAGUGUGUAUCUGAAUAGCUCAUUUGUAAGUGAUGGGUUUCUAGCAAUCCCUGUUACUAAGCUACCAAAUAGUGUACCAAUACCUGUACCCACACCUGAUAAUCCAAUAGUCGCUAACCCAGCUCCGAUUAAUUUUGCACUCUCGGUCAUAAUCAUAUUUUACUUUAAAUAUAUAUAUACAUAUUUAGUAUACGUUACUCCAGGAUUGUAUGUAGUAAUAAUUUAUGCGUUGCCAUCUGUCGGACUUGAACCGACACUCCAAUUUGGAAUCAGAUUUUAAGUCUGACGUGUCUACCAUUUCCACCAAGAAGGCAAUGCGGAUAAUGGGACUCGAACCCAUAUAGUCUGCUUGGAAGGCAGAUAAUUUAGCCAUUAAUUCAUAUCCGCAUUUGAAGUUGUUUGGACAUUGCUUUUAAUUUAAAAGAGGAAACUCCGGGCUUGAUAAGGUAAAAUUAAUUUAACUAUUAAGGAAGUAGACUUUAGAGACAGUUAUGUAGAAAUUGGUAAUUAUUGUUUAAUUAUAUUAAUUAAUAUAUUAUAUUUUAUAAUAAUUAUUACGAUGAACAAUCAUUUUGUGAUAGUAUAAUCGCGUACUUAAAAUUAAAACCUUUUUACAAGAAAAAGCUAGUUGCAUAUGUUAGUUAUGUGAAAGCUUGAUGGAUGACAUUAUGUGUCAGAAAAAUUGUGUUUAUACAGAAUCCGGGUUAU